UACGUAGGGGGCGAGCGUUACCCGGAUUUACUGGGCGUAAAGGGGGCGUAGGCGGCCGUGAAAGUCCGGUGUGAAAACUCACGGCUCAACCGUGGGACUGCGCUGGAAACUACACGGCUUGAGGACGGUAGAGGGAGACGGAACUGCUGGUGUAGGGGUGAAAUCCGUAGAUAUCAGCAGGAACGCCGGUGGAGAAGUCGGUCUCCUGGGCCGUUCCUGACGCUGAGGUCCGAAAGCUAGGGGAGCAAACCGG
Molecule: ribosomal RNA, 253 nt
Filed under: uncultured microorganism
Description: partial 16S ribosomal RNA
Rfam family: Bacterial small subunit ribosomal RNA
Source: RNAcentral